UACGUAGGGUGCGAGCGUUAAUCGGAAUUACUGGGCGUAAAGUGUGCGCAGGCGGCCGAGCAAGUCGAGUGUGAAAGCCCCGAGCUUAACUUGGGAAUUGCGCUCGAAACUACUUGGCUGGAGCGAUGCAGAGGUCGGUGGAAUUGCCGGUGUAGUGGUGAAAUGCGUAGAGAUCGGCAGGAACACCCAGGGGGAAACCAGCCGACUGGGCAUCUGCUGACGCUGAGGUGCGAGAGCGUGGGGAGCGAACCGG
Molecule: ribosomal RNA, 253 nt
Filed under: uncultured bacterium
Lineage: Bacteria
Description: partial 16S ribosomal RNA
Rfam family: Bacterial small subunit ribosomal RNA
Source: RNAcentral